Caenorhabditis elegans is the source of this 204-nucleotide non-coding RNA. The record is from Ensembl. NCBI's taxonomy places the organism in Eukaryota, Metazoa, Nematoda, Chromadorea, Rhabditida, Rhabditidae.
AUUUCGGAUUCGGACCGAUUGUUAAGUGUCUCCCAAAAGCGAGUGGUGGUUGGGACGCACUACAGGACGGAUAAUCCUCAAAAUCCCUCGCUCAUACACCGCAAACUGCACAAGUAUACUUGUACGCUCCCUCUCUCUCCAGCCUGUGGCACGGAUUGUUCGGCCAGCCAUAACCGCCUACGGAUUACGGUACACGAUCAUGUU